AUUGAACGCUGGCGGCAUGCCUUACACAUGCAAGUCGAACGGCAGCGCGGACUUCGGUCUGGCGGCGAGUGGCGAACGGGUGAGUAAUGCAUCGGAACGUACCUUUCAGUGGGGGAUAACGUAGCGAAAGUUACGCUAAUACCGCAUAUUCUGUGAGCAGGAAAGCAGGGGAUCGCAAGACCUUGCGCUGAUUGAGCGGCCGAUGUCAGAUUAGCUAGUUGGUGGGGUAAAGGCUCACCAAGGCGACGAUCUGUAGCGGGUCUGAGAGGAUGAUCCGCCACACUGGGACUGAGACACGGCCCAGACUCCUACGGGAGGCAGCAGUGGGGAAUUUUGGUCAAUGGGGGCAACCCUGAUCCAGCCAUGCCGCGUGAGUGAAGAAGGCCUUCGGGUUGUAAAGCUCUUUCGGCCGGGAAGAAAUCGCAUGGGUUAAUACCUAGGGCUCAUGACGGUACUGUAAGAAUAAGCACCGGCUAACUACGUGCCAGCCGCCGCGGUAA
This 500-nucleotide ribosomal RNA is filed under the name uncultured bacterium. Its description in RNAcentral is "partial 16S ribosomal RNA". It matches the Rfam family "Bacterial small subunit ribosomal RNA", at positions 30 to 523 of the family's 1533-position model. The record is from RNAcentral.